Molecule: non-coding RNA, 267 nt
Organism: Pelobates cultripes (western spadefoot toad)
Lineage: Eukaryota; Metazoa; Chordata; Amphibia; Anura; Pelobatidae
Source: the annotation of a GenBank genome assembly
AAUUGCGAAGCCCUUGGUUUUCUUUAUGUUUCUUUCUUGCUUUCUUCCAUCUUUCUUUAUCUUCUUAUGAUGAGUGCCCUACAUGAUAUACCUGGAAAUGACUCUUCCAUUUGCAGAAGAGAAGGGGAAUUUUCAAUGUAGCUUUCCUUCUGAAAGAUAUUUCAUUGUAUAUAAAAUGAUUAAUGUUAUCCAUUACUAUACAUCAGAUAUAAUAGCAAUGUAUUGUCUACAACCGUGUUUCCCAUCCUUAUCUUUAAGACUUAACUA